GUGGGGAAUAUUGGACAAUGGGGGGAACCCUGAUCCAGCCAUGCCGCGUGUGUGAAGAAGGCCUUUUGGUUGUAAAGCACUUUAAGCGAGGAGGAGGCUACCGAGAUUAAUACUCUUGGAUAGUGGACGUUACUCGCAGAAUAAGCACCGGCUAACUCUGUGCCAGCAGCCGCGGUAAUACAGAGGGUGUAAGCGUUAAUCGGAUUUACUGGGCGUAAAGCACGCGAAGGUGGUCAAUUAAGUCAAAUGUGAAAUCCCCGAGCUUAACUUGGGAAUUGCAUUCGAUACUGGUUGGCUAGAGUAUGGGAGAGGAUGGUAGAAUUCCAGGUGUAGCGGUGAAAUGCGUAGAGAUCUGGAAGAAUACCGAUGGCGAAGGCAGCCAUCUGGCCUAAUACUGACACUGAGGUGCGAAAGCAUGGGGAGCAAACAGGAUUAGAAACCCGGGUAGUCC
This 451-nucleotide ribosomal RNA is filed under the name uncultured bacterium. RNAcentral's name for it is "partial 16S ribosomal RNA". It matches the Rfam family "Bacterial small subunit ribosomal RNA", at positions 354 to 796 of the family's 1533-position model. The record is from RNAcentral.